This 253-nucleotide ribosomal RNA is filed under the name uncultured bacterium. RNAcentral describes it as "partial 16S ribosomal RNA". It matches the Rfam family "Bacterial small subunit ribosomal RNA", at positions 524 to 776 of the family's 1533-position model. The record is from RNAcentral.
UACGAAGGGGGCUAGCGUUGCUCGGAAUGACUGGGCGUAAAGGGCGCGUAGGCGGAUGGUACAGUCAGAUGUGAAAUUCCUGGGCUCAACCUGGGGGCUGCAUUUGAUACGUGCUGUCUAGAGUGUGGAAGAGGGUUGUGGAAUUCCCAGUGUAGAGGUGAAAUUCGUAGAUAUUGGGAAGAACACCGGUGGCGAAGGCGGCAACCUGGUCCAUUACUGACGCUGAGGUGCGAAAGCGUGGGGAGCAAACAGG